GACGUAGGGUGCAAGCGUUGUCCGGAUUUAUUGGGCGUAAAGAGCUCGUAGGCGGCUUGUUGCGUCGACUGUGAAAACCCGCGGCUUAACUGCGGGCUUGCAGUUGAUACGGGCAGGCUAGAGUUCGGUAGGGGAGACUGGAAUUCCUGGUGUAGCGGUGAAAUGCGCAGAUAUCAGGAGGAACACCGGUGGCGAAGGCGGGUCUCUGGGCCGAUACUGACGCUGAGGAGCGAAAGCGUGGGGAGCGAACAGG
RNAcentral lists this ribosomal RNA (253 nucleotides) under uncultured bacterium. RNAcentral's name for it is "partial 16S ribosomal RNA". It matches the Rfam family "Bacterial small subunit ribosomal RNA", at positions 524 to 776 of the family's 1533-position model. The record is from RNAcentral.